RNAcentral lists this long non-coding RNA (522 nucleotides) under Androctonus crassicauda. Lineage: Eukaryota; Metazoa; Arthropoda; Arachnida; Scorpiones; Buthidae. The record is from RNAcentral.
GUUUAGUAAAAAAAUGAUGUGUUCAUCAUAAAAUACAUAUUGAUCGAAAUAUUAACAACCAGGUAAAUAACCAUAAGAGAUAAGUCCAAUGCAAUGGACUGUUUCAUUCGGAUUUGUCAUCUGAUUUUGAUAUAUUUUCUUACGACAUUUUAUGUCAACGAUUAAGUUACGAUUUUCUUUUGAGCCAAGUGCUAUUCUUUCGAUUUAUCUGAAGAAAAGCUAUGAUAAAUUUAAUAAUGAUAUAUCGUAUUCUUUCCCUCUGAAUCAGGGAAUUCGUCAAGGCUCACCUUUGAGCGCAUUACAUUUUGUGAUAUAUAUAAAUCCUGUCCUAAUUUGUCCGAAUCUACUGUUCUGGCAUAUGCAGAUUUUCUUAAAAUAAUAAAUUCUAAACAUUCUGCUCUGCAAAAGGAUCUCAAUUAUGUGGUAAAAUGAUUACAUGAUGAUAAAUUAUCUCAUAAUCCGUCUAAGUCGGAAAUUAUUUUUUAUACAAAACGUACUAAUUCUCCUAAACAUGUUGCUAUU